UACGUAGGUGGCAAGCGUUGUCCGGAUUUAUUGGGCGUAAAGGGCGCGCAGGCGGCUGCUCAAGUCAGGCGUGAAAGGCCUGGGCUCAACCCGGGAAUUGCGCUUGAGACUGGGCUGGCUUGAGUGUGGGAGAGGAUGGUGGAAUUCCCAGUGUAGAGGUGAAAUUCGUAGAUAUUGGGAAGAACACCGGUGGCGAAGGCGGCAAUCUGGAACGCAACUGACGCUGAGGCGCGAAAGCGUGGGGAGCAAACAGG
RNAcentral lists this ribosomal RNA (254 nucleotides) under uncultured bacterium. Its description in RNAcentral is "partial 16S ribosomal RNA". It matches the Rfam family "Bacterial small subunit ribosomal RNA", at positions 524 to 776 of the family's 1533-position model. The record is from RNAcentral.